UUAGAUUCUUCACAUGUCAGAAGAACAUUUUUGGUCUCGAUGAUGACAACUUGAUUUCUUAAUAAUAUUGUGUUUUUGGUGAAAGUUUACAUACCAAAUUAGGUUCCCAUUUAACAAUUUCUACACAAAUUGUUCAGUGACUUUGGUUACGUUUUCCACAGUGUGAACAUUCUUAUUAUUUCAUUCAGCGAGUUCCAUUUCCAGUAAUCUAGUUUAUCUGCCCAUUACCUUCUUUUCUUUCUCUAUUAGAGUAAUUGUUGAUUGUUUGGUCUUGUAGAUGAUUUUUUAAAGGAACGAUGCGCUCGUAGGUGAUGUUCUUUAUUUUAUAAGCCAAUUUGUUAUUUAGCUAAAAGAUGACCUCAGGGGAUAGUUUCAGUUCAAAGUGUAAGGGGUUUCUUUUUCUUACAAUGAGUAUAGAGGUCGUCAUCUCAAUGUCCAACACAGCUUCUCCAGCAACAGUCUCAUUGAACCUUUCUGCUUUCCUGUCCUUCGUGAGUAACUACUGAACAUCUGAGGACUGUGGUCUCAUUCCAGGAACAAAGAAGAGGAAAGAUGAAGGGGGAAGGACAAGUGGCUGUAUCAGGACUUAGAACAUUUCCAGAAACCUCAGCCAAAUUCUGCUUAUAUCUUGGUGUUCUGAACCACGUCCCACAGCCACCUUAACUGCCGAGGAGUCUGGUGCUAAGGAGCCUCGGUGGCACAGUGGUUAAAGCAAUGGACAGCUAACUGAAAGAGCACUUUACAAGCAUUAUUCUGAUUUGUUCCUACAAUGAUCAUGAAUCAGAGGGAGGAAGAAUUCUCAGGCCGUUCCUUAGAAGAGAGCAACAGGGAGCAGGCACAGCCGUGUGCAAGUGGGCGUCUUAUGGGACCUGAUCCAGGUUCAGAGGGUAACCUGGAGGAGAAUGACAGCUAAAGAAAUUCUAGAGGCUGCAAAUUAAGUUGAUGCGUCCAUCAGUACCUCAGGUGAUGACUCCUUCUGCUACCAAGAGUGUGGGUUGCCAGAGAGAGCCCUCAAGAUGACACAGAUGCGUACCACAUUGCUCAGCGGGCUGGGCAGACAGCAACUGCUAUCAGGAAAGCAUCUGGUAGACUUGGGGAGAAAGAGGAUUGCUGCUAUUUCCUGACAAGAUCUGUGGGAGGCCCAGGGAUGGAGUGCUUCGAGCAAUGAAUUGACCCUCUGCCUUCUUCCAGAUCAAAUGGUCCAGGAUGGAGUUUAUAGCUCUUAUUUCUGAUGCUAUAAGGUUCAAGGCAGCAACCUUGGGAGCACUUAGGCUCAAUUUGAUUUUUAUUGUUUCAUGAAAUGGGAAUUGCUUUCUGCCAGUCAGUAAAGCAGCAGGUGUCCCGCUCGUGUAAUGGAUAUGGACGGACCAUCACUGUUUGUGAUAGCAGUUUAACCGCCUGGCAGUCUUAUUAGUGGGGAUGUUGGAACUACAGGAUUUUCAUCCGCCUCAGGGAUAAUUCUUUAUCCAUGUCAGCAUUAACGUUGUUACAUCUAACAGGUUAUGGCCACUUCAGAAAGAAGGGCAAGUUCAAAGUCUCUGAAGUUUGAAAUGCACCAGAAGAGGAAAGGAGCUGAGAGAAUGAGGGACCUGAGCAGUCAGGAGGUUUAUUGGAAACGUGUCUGAAAUGUAAGCCAAGCAAUCAAAUGUUCCAGGAAAUAAUGGAAAAGCCAACCUAGCAGGUAAAAGAAACGUUAUUGAAGAAAUCAGCUAAACCUCAGAAGAGAAGCAUAAUGCUUAAGGCAAAAAUCUUUAUUAGUUUAGGGAUGGAAAAAUGAUCAGUCAUUUUUCCUGGAUGCAAAAAAAAAAAAAAACAAAACAUCCGAAAUGUCCUCAGUUCUCAAUUACCUGCCCCAAUUGAGCAGAUGUCCUAUUGAAGUGUACAUGAAAGAACAGGUUAUAAAAGGAAGCUUAACUUGGCUUUACCAAAAAACCCACUACUGUCGAGUUGAUUUCCAGCUCAUGGUGACCAUAUAGGACAGAGUAGAACCGCUCCAUAGGAUUUCCAAGACUGUAAUCUUUAUGGAAGCAGACUGCCACAUCUUUCUCCUGUGGAGCAGCUGGUGGGUUUCAACUGCUGACCUUUCAGUUAGCAGCCAGACACUUAGCAACUGUGCCACCAGGGCUCUUUAACUUGGCUUUGGAGGGCAAUAAAAACCUCCUCAUCAUAUCGCUGUUAGCUGCUGUUUAGUCAGCCCUCGAUUGAUGGUGACCUCAUGCACUAUGGAAUGAAAUACUGUCUGGUCCCUGUGAUCCGUUCUGCAUUGGACCACUGUGAUCUAUAUGGGUUUUGUUAUAAAACUGAUUUUCAGAAGUAGAUCGUCAGGCCUUUCUUCCUGGUAUGUCUUAGCCUGGAAGCUCCACUAAAACCUGUUCAGCAACUGGCAGGCUGUCAUUUUCCUGUUCAUCAUGUUUGUUGCCUGUCCUUUCCUCACUAGCACGCAAGUUCCAUGAGGGCAGGGAUCUUGCUUUGUUUUAGUCACUGAUGUAUCUUAAGCACCUAGAGCAGUACCUAGCACAUAAAAAAAAAAAAAAAAAAUUUUUUUUUUUUUUUUUU
Long non-coding RNA from Loxodonta africana (African savanna elephant), 2556 nucleotides. RefSeq lists it as uncharacterized. The record is from RefSeq and is a predicted model, not a curated record. The transcript has 4 exons. Lineage: Eukaryota; Metazoa; Chordata; Mammalia; Proboscidea; Elephantidae.